Molecule: ribosomal RNA, 253 nt
Filed under: uncultured Eubacteriales bacterium
Lineage: Bacteria; Bacillati; Bacillota; Clostridia; Eubacteriales
Description: uncultured Clostridiales bacterium partial 16S ribosomal RNA
Rfam family: Bacterial small subunit ribosomal RNA
Source: RNAcentral
UACGUAGGGGGCAAGCGUUAUCCGGAUUUACUGGGUGUAAAGGGAGCGUAGACGGCAGCGCAAGUCUGGAGUGAAAUGCCGGGGCCCAACCCCGGAACUGCUCUGGAAACUGUGAAGCUGGAGUGCAGGAGAGGUAAGCGGAAUUCCUGGUGUAGCGGUGAAAUGCGUAGAUAUCAGGAGGAACACCGGCGGCGAAGGCAGCUUACCAAGCUACUUCUGACGUUGAGGCACGAAAGCGUGGGGAGCAAACAGG